UUUUGGAUAAAAGUCAUUGAAAAAUCUCAAUGACCAAACACAUUUAUUUAACUAUAUUUUUUUUUUAAUAAUGAAUAUAAAAAUUUCUUCCAAACCAAACAUUUUUCUGCAAAUGUUUGUGUAGAGUUAAUAUAGAUCAGAGAUGCCUAGUCCCAUUGCUCUCGUCUCUCCUUUGUUGUUGGAUUGCUCCGUCAUAUGGGUAGAGCAAAAUCAUAUACGUGUGCUGCUCCCAGCACGGGCAAGGCAAAUUACAAUAACAAUUUUGCAUAGCUUAAUACUACUUAAGUUAGAUUCAACACUUUUCGGCCUAGUGCGAAGGCAUUUUGUUGUUGGAUUCGAAAUAAAAAAUAUUUAUAUUAAAAAAUGAAAUAAUAAUUGUAUAAUAAAAGAAAUAUUUAUUAAAAUAAUUAAUUCUUUCCGUUUUCGGAUCUGUAGCGGCGACUGAAGAGUCAUUUUCAAAAUAAUAAUAAAUAAAAAAAAAAAAAACUAAAAUUGUAAACAAAUACCAUCGAUAUACAUAUCGGCUUUGUAAAUUGGACUUUUUACCGAUAGUUAAAGCGAAGCUUUUACUUUGGGAGUUGCCAAAUUGUUAAGGCGCGGGAUCAGCUGCAGCAGGGAGGCUUAGGAAAGCUGCAAUAUCAGCUGUUCUGCAUUUCCGGUAACCUAAAUGGAAUGUAGGUUGUUCCAUGCUCGGUCUUUUCUAUCGAAACCCCCCAGAAGUGCAGACGCCCAAAUAAUAUCUCUCUGCAAGUGUAAAUUUUAUCAGCGCAAGAUCAGCGCAAGUGCAAAGUGUUUAUUUUUUUUUUCUUAUCAAAUUCCGAAUUUGCAACGGAGAUAAGGGCAGCCUAAGCCUGUGUUUGUGGGUUUUUUUUCUUUUGUGUGUCGCGGCUUUAUGAAAGCGCGACCUCGUUGCGGUCUUAUCAAAAUUUAUCAGGUGAAUAUAAAAUUUAUAUUUGUAAUAACUCCAGGGUAUUUAUUGUGGCCGUUUUAAAGUUUCGUUGCGGUCCACACCAAAACACCCCGGGAGCGCUCCUGGUGGAGGCUCCCAGUUCAGGAGCGGCUUAACCUCGAUCGGGUAAUCCGUCUCCCCCCCCAUCUUCAUCACCAUCUUCAUCAUUAUCUUCAUCUCCUAAUACAUUGGUGCCGGGAAAUUAACACUCAGUGGCCGGAAAAUUAACCGUAGGGAUGGUGUAAGGGAAUUUGCAGACCCAACGAAUUCAAGACCCGUUAAGUGAAAGGCCGUUGACCCCACCAGCCAUGGAAUAAGGAGCAAAAGAGAAAUUAUUAAAACCGCUAGCCCAGCCGCCCAGCUCCAAACUCGUGGCGAUCAUUUUUUUCUCUCUUUUCUCAUCUACAUUUCAUCCCCCAAAUCACAUGCGUUAUAAAAUGUUUUAAUUUUAUUUUCUUUUUAGUCAAUAGUUUUAGUUAUAAAUUUAAAUUUAAAUUAAUUACAGGCUUUUAGUGAAGUGGAAAAAAAACGGAAUUGGAAAAUAUGAAGAUAAUAUUUAUUUUUUUUAAACUUUCGCGAACAAAAUGGUUGUCAGGUUAAUUUUAAAUCGUUUAAUUUUAAUCCUCGUGCGAAAAUAAGUUUGUUUUAAAAUUCUAUGGUGUGCAAAAGCCUCAUUACACUCAUUUACAGCAACCCAAAGCAGAGAUCGAUCUUUCGCCGAUGGAUUUACAGCUUUUAGUGAAGUGGAAAAAAAACGGAAUUGGAAAAUAUGAAGAUAAUAUUUAUUUUUUUUAAACUUUCGCGAACAAAAUGGUUGUCAGGUUAAUUUUAAAUCGUUUAAUUUUAAUCCUCGUGCGAAAAUAAGUUUGUUUUAAAAUUCUAUGGUGUGCAAAAGCCUCAUUACACUCAUUUACAGCAACCCAAAGCAGAGAUCGAUCUUUCGCCGAUGGAUUUACAGUGAGUGGUUUAUUUACCUUUUACAUAUACACUGUAAAAAAAAAUUUUUUUGAGUCCCACUGAAUUUUAAUAUUAUAUUUAAUGCAUUCCUCCUUCAUCUUAACAUAAAAAAUAUCAAGAGCACGAAUUUCAUUUAAAUGAUUUAACUGUUGACUAAUGAAUACUCUAUCCUAAUGAAUUUUAAAUAUUAUCAUUUUUCUAAUACCUUUAUUUGAAAUUUAUUUAUCCU
Molecule: long non-coding RNA, 2135 nt
Organism: Drosophila ananassae
Lineage: Eukaryota; Metazoa; Arthropoda; Insecta; Diptera; Drosophilidae
Exons: 3
Source: RefSeq, a predicted model, not a curated record